This 429-nucleotide ribosomal RNA is filed under the name bacterium. Its description in RNAcentral is "partial 16S ribosomal RNA". It matches the Rfam family "Bacterial small subunit ribosomal RNA", at positions 355 to 776 of the family's 1533-position model. The record is from RNAcentral.
UAGGGAAUCUUCCACAAUGGACGCAAGUCUGAUGGAGCAACGCCGCGUGAGUGAAGAAGGUUUUCGGAUCGUAAAGCUCUGUUGUUGGUGAAGAAGGAUAGAGGUAGUAACUGGCCUUUAUUUGACGGUAAUCAACCAGAAAGUCACGGCUAACUACGUGCCAGCAGCCGCGGUAAUACGUAGGUGGCAAGCGUUGUCCGGAUUUAUUGGGCGUAAAGCGAGCGCAGGCGGAAGAAUAAGUCUGAUGUGAAAGCCCUCGGCUUAACCGAGGAACUGCAUCGGAAACUGUUUUUUUUGAGUGCAGAAGAGGGGAGUGGAAUUCCAUGUGUAGCGGUGGAAUGCGUAGAGAUAUGGAAGAACACCAGUGGCGAAGGAGACUCUCUGGUCUGCAACUGACGCUGAGGCUCGAAAGCAUGGGGAGCGAACAGG